CUCGACAUUAUAAAGUCAUUUUAGGUGGACCAUAUAUGGCCAUAUAUAAUAAUAUAUUGAUCAAUAUACAGGAGUCUCUGAUUGAAUCAUCUCAGCUCUCAUAUCACGUAUGACGCGCCUACGUCACGUCGUCACAACCUGAAGCUAAAGUGGCGAGAGAGCCGUCUCGGCUCGAGCGCGGUCCGGAUUUUAGCUCCACACUGUCGCCAGCCAGACUCCCCACCACAGUGACACAAACCAACCAGCCGCCUCGAGAGGUUGCUGAAGAGGUAUGCAGCGAUGGUCUGGAGGAAAAAAUAGUCACAUGGACUGGUGUGCAUUCCAGUACUUGAAAUGAUGCUGUUGCUCAGGCACAUCCAGGUGCGAGGAUGGGGGAGAUCCGGAUGUCGCUAAAUAAAAGAAUCUGUGAACUGCUUCACCAAGAGAAAAAGAAGUCCAUGGACAGGCCUAUGAGCCCUCUUGUUGACCUUGAGUGACUGAGGCUGCGGGCGGUCUGCCCCUGAAUUCACCUUCACUUUCUUUUCUUUUAAAAAAAAAUAUAUCUGAAGGUGUGUGUGUGUGUGUGUGCGCGAGCGCGGGUGUGUGUGUGUGGGCGCGGGCACGCGUAUGUGUUUGUGUGUGUGCGCGUGUGUGUGUGCACGCGUGCAUGUGUGCCAGUGCUUUAUGUGAGGUGUUUCGCUUACCGGCCACAGCCACAGUUUUUGUUUUGUUUUCUUUUUGUUUUAUUUGGGUUUUUUUUUUGUUUUUUGGGUUUUUUUUUAGAAUAUUUCUGCAUUUACAUUAAGUACAAGUUACUGGCCAAAGUGGGAGACUGAAAUUGUUACUGGCCACAGGCAAGUUUCACCAGCAUUUGGCCUAUUGGCCGGUGUCGUUGUCAAGUCGUUUCCCUGCCUGUCUGCCCCUCUGUCUCUGCAUGUGGGAGCGGUGGUGUUAAAGGGUCGGUUGGUUUCAUGUUUUUAAUAAACCAAUGUCAACAGUUGAAUGAAUUGAAUUGAUGUUUGGUCAUUGUUGUAAUUACAUUACUUCAUAAAUGCCUUGUAUAAAGUACGUUACAGUAUAUUGUGUAGUGUAAUGCAAUACAUAAGUCAAUAUAUGAUUUAAUUAAUAAGCCAUAUACUAUGGGAUAUAAUCCAAUAUAUGCAACAGUAUACUUUACAGUAUAAUGCAAUACAUAAAUCAAUAUAUGAUUCAUCAAUAAGCCAUAUAUUAUGGGAUAUAAUUCAAUAUAUGCAGUAAUAUACUGUACAGUAUAAUGCAAUACAUUAAUCAGUAUAUGAUUCAUCAAUAAGCCAUAUAUUAUGGGGUAUAAUUCCAUAUAUGCAGUAAUAUACUGUACAGUAUAAUGCAAUACAUAAAUCAAUAUAUGAUUCAUCAAUAAGCCAUAUACUAUGGGGUAUAAUUCAAUAUAUGCAACAAUAUAUUGUACAGUAUAAUACAAUACAUAAAUCAAUAUAUGAUUUAUCAAUAAGUCAUAUACUAUAUGGGAUAUAAUUCCAUAUAUCCAACAAUAUAUUUCACAGUAUAAUGCAAUACAUAAGUCAAUAUACGAAAACGGCAAUAAUGUCUAUAUUCUCGUAUACCGCAAAAUAUAUCACUUUAUAUUGUGCAAUAUACUGCUGUACAAUAUAAAAUGAUAUAUUGGCAAACAAUAUAUUGUAGUAUAUUAUAAUAUAUUUUCAUUUCAUAU
Engraulis encrasicolus (European anchovy) is the source of this 1687-nucleotide long non-coding RNA. RefSeq lists it as uncharacterized. The record is from RefSeq and is a predicted model, not a curated record. The transcript is spliced from 3 exons. NCBI's taxonomy places the organism in Eukaryota, Metazoa, Chordata, Actinopteri, Clupeiformes, Engraulidae.